Molecule: ribosomal RNA, 450 nt
Filed under: uncultured bacterium
Lineage: Bacteria
Description: bacterial SSU rRNA
Rfam family: Bacterial small subunit ribosomal RNA
Source: RNAcentral
AACGAACGCUGGCGGCAUGCCUAACACAUGCAAGUCGAACGAGACCUUCGGGUCUAGUGGCGCACGGGUGCGUAACGCGUGGGAAUCUGCCCUUGGGUUCGGAAUAACAGCGAGAAAUUGCUGCUAAUACCGGAUGAUGACGUAAGUCCAAAGAUUUAUCGCCCAAGGAUGAGCCCGCGUAGGAUUAGCUAGUUGGUGAGGUAAAGGCUCACCAAGGCGACGAUCCUUAGCUGGUCUGAGAGGAUGAUCAGCCACACUGGGACUGAGACACGGCCCAGACUCCUACGGGAGGCAGCAGUGGGGAAUAUUGGACAAUGGGCGAAAGCCUGAUCCAGCAAUGCCGCGUGAGUGAUGAAGGCCUUAGGGUUGUAAAGCUCUUUUACCCGGGAUGAUAAUGACAGUACCGGGAGAAUGAGCUCCGGCUAACUCCGUGCCAGCAGCCGCGGUAAU